AAGACCUUGCGCUUUUGGAGCGGCCGAUGUCUGAUUAGCUUGUUGGUGAGGUAAAAGCUCACCAAGGCUUCGAUCAGUAGCUGGUCUGAGAGGACGACCAGCCACACUGGGACUGAGACACGGCCCAGACUCCUACGGGAGGCAGCAGUGGGGAAUUUUGGACAAUGGGGGCAACCCUGAUCCAGCCAUGCCGCGUGAGUGAAGAAGGCCUUCGGGUUGUAAAGCUCUUUCAGCCGGAACGAAACGGUCACGGUUAAUACCUGUGACUACUGACGGUACCGGAAGAAGAAGCACCGGCUAACUACGUGCCAGCAGCCGCGGUAAUACGUAGGGUGCGAGCGUUAAUCGGAAUUACUGGGCGUAAAGCGUGCGCAGGUGGUUUUGUAAGUCAGAUGUGAAAUCCCCGGGCUUAACCUGGGAACU
Molecule: ribosomal RNA, 423 nt
Filed under: uncultured bacterium
Lineage: Bacteria
Description: bacterial SSU rRNA
Rfam family: Bacterial small subunit ribosomal RNA
Source: RNAcentral